AUGUUUGUGAUGUGACUUAGUUUGAAAUGACAGAGAUAUAACAACUGGACAGACACACACUUGUCCUUUUAUUAUGGUGUAUAUUACCCCUUUAUUCUUUUACAACAGACUCCUUCUCAUCUGCCUAUGCAUUUCGAUACUGUCCACUUCUACUCUUUAUUCACCUAACACUGUAUAUAUAGUAUAUGGAUUUCUUAAUUACAGUCAUCCAAUAAUGAGCUCAGAAUGGCCAUUACUGGUCUUUGGUUAGUCCCUUCUAAUAUAAUGCUAAUCUGCUCUGUAAAGCUUUGUGCACAGUUUUUAAGUCUACGAAAUAACGUUCACUUUUUAAUUCCCAUUCAGCUAGUUUGUUUCCUUAAUUAUUUCUGCUAAUACGGGCAAUUACCGUUCGUUAAACAUCAGAUCCACCAUUUCUGCCGUAAAUGCCAACAUCAACAGUUUACGCACAUAUUGCCAUUUCUCUCAUUAGUUUUUCCUACGAGGCUGAAGUUUAGGUCGAGCAUAACCACACACAACUGUUGCCUCCAACCAGUUUCCCCAGAGUGCAAAAAGUAUCAGCGACUCCUCACGCUGCGCACGUGCUCAAGGAAUGAAUGCGCGAUCACGUACGCUUCUACGGCAAGCUGUAAGGUCCAAGCUACGUGUUUACACAAACUUCGACAAUUCCGUAACGUGCUGCGCGUUUCUAAAGAACUCACUGUCAGAAGUAAAUUGCAUUUUUAUAGUGAAAAAGCAAGCAGAAAUCUGGAAUUGCUUAAUACAAGUGUUCGCGUCUGAUUUUCACGUAUCUUUUAACGCUUCACAUCUGGUAAAGUUCUUACAUAUUUAUAUUCUUUGAACAUUUUCUGCACAGAUAUCAUCAGUUUUUGAACUUGUUUACCGACAAGAAUAUUUUCAUUUGCAAUGCACGCGUAUUUCAUACUGGUACAUAAAGUUUCGCAAACAAAUCUCAUUUAUAAAAUCAUAGACGUAUCGACUUACUUUAUCUGGAAAAAAAUUACAAAAAAAAAGUCACGCUUAUUUCUUUGUGUAAUUUUGGGGAAUACAUUUUAUUAUAUAUUAUGUCUUAUUCAAGCCUAUUCCUACUGUCUUAGUCAGCUAGGAACAACUGAAAUAACUCAUUUAGUUGAAGUGACUAAACGGAUGCCCUAUACAGACUCACUUAAACGAUUUGAAUGUUAAAAAUAAGAGACACCAAAGCUGACGGGUGUGCCUUCACAUUUCAAAACUUUUUUAUAUUCUGUAGGAAUGAGGUACAGAAAUCAGACAUGAACAAACACUUGUGGUUGUUUUAUCCCACGUGGUAAGAUGAAAACUUACACUUACCUGCCUGGUUUGAACUGAAAACAUAAGAGGAGCUAAAACUGACAGGUAUGGAAUGGAAAAUCAGCUGCUAAAUUCAUGAAACCGUACUUACCUCUCCUGUUCAGAAGAAAGAAGGAAAAAAAAAAAAGCAGAAACGCAUUGGAGACCAAAACUGACAGGGAGGGAGAGGAUCCUCUAAAAGCAGUGAAGUCUAUGCCUAGAAUAAUGAUACCACCAAGGCCAAGGCAAGU
Molecule: long non-coding RNA, 1556 nt
Organism: Polypterus senegalus (gray bichir)
Lineage: Eukaryota; Metazoa; Chordata; Cladistia; Polypteriformes; Polypteridae
Exons: 3
Source: RefSeq, a predicted model, not a curated record